Molecule: long non-coding RNA, 2645 nt
Organism: Raphanus sativus (radish)
Lineage: Eukaryota; Viridiplantae; Streptophyta; Magnoliopsida; Brassicales; Brassicaceae
Exons: 2
Source: RefSeq, a predicted model, not a curated record
UAAGAAAUCACAACUGAAAAUUCUCUCUGCCGCCGCACAGGUAAUAAAAAAGGAAAAGAAAAGAAUUCUUUAGCCGCCGAUCUCUUUCCGUGGUGGGUCAUAAUUCUCACCGCCGCUAUAUGAGGGAGGAUUUCCUCCUCCUCUAUAGUUUAAUUUAUGGUUUAUAUGGGUUCUUGUAUUUUUGGCGUUUCUUAGCUUCUUUCGAGAUUUAGAUUUUGCGUUGGUAAGGUUGUACGGUCUUGGAGGAGUCAUCUGGGGUUGAAUCAGUGCUUGUAUCCCUUUAGUAUAUGUCGAUUAGGUGAGCAGUUGUAGAAAAGACUUCUGUGGUUGUAGCUAGUGCCUAAUCGUUCUGAGUUUCGUGGUUCCUCUUUGUGUCUUUUCUUGACUGUGUUCUGCAUCUGGAGUGUAGUUCCAGCUCAAUUGCUUGUUUCAGGUGAAGUUUUGGUUCAGAGAGUUGGGUUCAGUACUGAGUCUGGCGUCAGAUGUCAGGUCGAAGACCUGUUGAUGGUGUGGUGUAGCUACUGGGAGCAGUGCAGGUGCUUUCGCUAACGUCAUCUUUCGAUUGUUUUCAACUCUAGCUCUUUUGCUGCUCAUCGUUUCUGCAAGGAGUUUAGUUUUCGGUGAGUCGUUGUGUCGAUUGGGUGUUUCUAUGUGCACUUUUAGGUGCCUAUAUCCCGAGUUUGGUUUCCUGUCUCCAGUGUUGGUUCUUCAGUUGGUGCUUUCAUGUUUGUGGCUUUUUCUAAAUGGUUCUGGUUUGGCGUGGAGUUAUAUAUUACUUUGGGUUUUUUCCUGCAACGAAGAAGCGUCCCGAGGAUCCUUGGUUUGCUUUUGAUUUCUCUCUGGUGACAAGGUCUGUAUUAAGGCGUUGUUCCUCGUUCUGCUGUGUAUAUGGCGGGUGGACCUGUUUCUGUCGUUUGGUUUGGUUGUCAAGCAUUUCAGGUGGUGGUGGUCUGUCCUCAUGGAGGCCUAUUCGCGUUUUGUCUGGUUGUCUCCUUGUAAUCUUCCGGUGGUUCUAAACUUCUUGGUUACUAUCUUCUUCUUCCUCUCUUGAACUUUCAGUUACUCGGAGAUUUAAGUUUUGAAUUUCAACUUGGUUCGGUUGCUUAUGUGCCCUAUGGAUGGGCUUUAGUUUUCCUUUUUAUGGGAUUUAGAUUCCCUUCUUAUGGGAUGUACUUGCUAAGGAUAUUUCUUUUGCUUCAGUUCAUGUAUUAAACUUUGUAUUCCACUUUGUUAUCCUAAUAUAAACCAAUUUGACGGAAAAAAUUGUGAAUAUCCAUCUUGCAUAGUAUAUUUUGAAAAAGCGUUGCAUGGAGUGUUUUAGCCUUUUAGGUAAUUCAUUCGCAAUUUGAUGAUGUGUCCGAACGUAUAGUCGUAUAGUUGUAAAAAACCCUGAUUCAAUCAUCUCUAACUUUGUGUUAAUCAAAUUAAUUCAUCUAGUAAAAUAUGUGACUAUUCACAAUAUGGAGAGCAGCCAUAUUAUCACAGUAGCAUGAGAACUAAAUAAUACACAAAGAUCAUGUAAAAAAUGAGAAAGCCAGAUCAAUUCCUUUGUUGCCAUUGCUAGUAAAACAUGGGUGCCAUAGUUUUAGGAUGUAACUGGUAAAUAAAAAAUGAAUAAAUUAAAUAGAUAAGAAUAGAACCUAAAAAAGCAACUUAUUUUAUCCCUUGUUCCGGCGGCGUGCAGACGGCAUCAGAAACGUAACCUUUCCUUCCUUCCUCGUUUUUAUCUGCUCUCGUCCUCCCUGUCUUUCCUUGGUUAAUAUACUUGUUGUUCUGUGAUGUUCUGGUCAUUUCUGAAACUCGAUCACGAUGGAUGGAGUCGGAUUAGGGCUUUUUAUAGAGGGAUGGUGAGACCAAAGGCGGCUUGGUGGAGGCGAGAGUCGACGUUUAGGGUUCAUCUUUGCCAGAUCCAAUUUUCCCCUUUUGAGAUCCCCAACUAAAGCUUCUUGACGACGGCGCGUGACUAGACAUGACAGCUCCUUCACCUAGGAUCUACAUGUCCUUAGCGGCGGUGUGUCUGUAGGAGGAGGUAUUAGACUGGCGCUGAAAAGAGGAUCGGUCUUCAAUUUCGAGAUCGAAGCACGGCACUGACAACGGACUUACCCUCCGAAGAAAAGGUCCCUGCCGGAUUUUACGUGGUGGAGAAGUGCUUACCGGUGCUGGAUUGAGCAUGAGGUUGAUCUUAUAUUUCUACCUCCACACUUUUUCAAACUACAAUUUGGAGUCCUAGUUUCUUUGGCCGAUGUCAAGGCCCAACUUUUAUUCCGGAAAGUCUUGUUUGGCUCAUGGCUAUGUGCCUUAGGCGAGGUCAUAUUAGUCCACAAGCUAAAGGCACACUUUGUGGAGACUAAUAGUGUUGAAGUAACUUUAGAACUGACUGAGUCUUCGCUGUUAACAGUUCAAUACCAUUUUCGGGUUUCAAGGUAAUAUUUGUCUUGAUCCCUGCUUUCCAGUACGGAGCUAUUCUGUUGUUUAGGUUUAGGAGCAGAGCAUUUAACACGGUGGGUAUGCAUUUAUUCAAAAAAUGUUCCAAAAAGUGGAAAGUAUUUGUUAAGAAUUUUAUUCUUAUUCUUGUCUCAUAAGGUUAAAUUAGUAGGUUUAAGAAUAGGUUUUUCUGAAUUUUAGAAGAAGUUUGUAUUUAACUA